RNAcentral lists this ribosomal RNA (410 nucleotides) under Oscillospira sp. C. RNAcentral describes it as "bacterial SSU rRNA". It matches the Rfam family "Bacterial small subunit ribosomal RNA", at positions 65 to 487 of the family's 1533-position model. Lineage: Bacteria; Bacillati; Bacillota; Clostridia; Eubacteriales; Oscillospiraceae. The record is from RNAcentral.
AAGGAGUUUUCGGACAACGGAUUGAGUUGUUUAGUGGCGGACUGGUGAGUAACGCGUGAGGAACCUGCCCUUGAGUGGGGGACAACGGCUGGAAACGGCUGCUAAUACCGCAUGACGCAACGUUGGGACAUCCCGACGUUGCCAAAGAUUUUAUCGCUCAAGGAUGGCCUCGCGUCUGAUUAGCUUGUUGGUGAGGUAACGGCCCACCAAGGCGACGAUCAGUAGCCGGACUGAGAGGUUGGCCGGCCACAUUGGGACUGAGAUACGGCCCAGACUCCUACGGGAGGCAGCAGUGGGGAAUAUUGGGCAAUGGACGCAAGUCUGACCCAGCAACGCCGCGUGAAGGAAGAAGGCUUUCGGGUUGUAAACUUCUUUUAAGGGGGAAGAGCAGAAGACGGUACCCCUUGAAU